UACGGAGGAUUCAAGCGUUAUACGGAUUUAUUGGGUUUAAAGGGUGCGUAGGCGGUCUGAUAAGUUAGAGGUGAAAUCCCGGGGCUUAACUCCGGAAUUGCCUCUGAUACUGUUGGGCUAGAGAGUAGUUGCGGUAGGCGGAAUGUAUGGUGUAGCGGUGAAAUGCUUAGAGAUCAUACAGAACACCGAUUGCGAAGGCAGCUUACCAAACUAUAUCUGACGUUGAGGCACGAAAGCGUGGGGAGCAAACAGG
Molecule: ribosomal RNA, 253 nt
Filed under: uncultured bacterium
Lineage: Bacteria
Description: partial 16S ribosomal RNA
Rfam family: Bacterial small subunit ribosomal RNA
Source: RNAcentral